This is a small nucleolar RNA of 140 nucleotides. Its record names the gene U3. It matches the Rfam family "Small nucleolar RNA U3". Rfam says of the family: Small nucleolar RNAs (snoRNAs) are involved in the processing and modification of rRNA in the nucleolus. There are two main classes of snoRNAs: the box C/D class, and the box H/ACA class. U3 snoRNA is a member of the box C/D class. The record is from Ensembl.
AACCCAUGAUGAUGAGCUAUAAUACUCCUUUCUGAGAGCGAAUUGUGGACAGAACUGUGGCUUUGUUCACAAGUUCUGUCGUUGAUGAGCGUUCAUAUUGUUUUUGGCAAUGUUGAAGAAAGGAGUAUGAUCUGAGUGGU